Long non-coding RNA from Biomphalaria glabrata, 1159 nucleotides. RefSeq lists it as uncharacterized. The record is from RefSeq and is a predicted model, not a curated record. The transcript has 3 exons. NCBI's taxonomy places the organism in Eukaryota, Metazoa, Mollusca, Gastropoda, Planorbidae.
GUCCCGCCUCCUAUUCUAUCCGUCCACUAACUCCCUUCCCCACCCUCUUCGUUUCGGUGUUUGUGGUCGCGAACUCGACAAGGGGAGUAACUACACUUGGCUAUGAGAUUGCUGGAGACAGCAGGAACAUUUCUUCUAUGCACUGUGGCCUUCACUAUAGUGGAUGGACUUCGAUGUUUGGCUUGUCGAGGACAGAAUGUCUACGAGUGUAUUAGAAGUGCCAUGAUCACUGUAUGCAGCCAGGGAGAGCUCUGCCGCUUCCGAAAAGUGAAUCGAUUCCUGGGGCCCAAGAAGAUAUGGUUCGAGGCAGAAUGUGCCAGCAGAGACGUCUGCCGGCAGCCGGAUACGUUCGAAAGCGCUCACUUCUGCUGUAGAGUUAGUUAUUGUAAUUACCUCCCCGCCGGAAGAUAGGCCUUAGCAAUGCUGGUGGCGAUAUUGUUUACGUGUGUGUAAUGUGUAUGUUUGUGUGUCCCUGCGUGCGUGCGUGUCUUAAGAAUAUUUAUUAUUCUGGAAUGAUAGUUUUAAAGAGUUAUUUUAAAUACUUUCACAAUGCUUUUCAUUUUCUUGUAGGCCUUUAAUUUUAGUCAAUACAUUGUAAACCUAUUUUUGUUCAUUCAAAUUUCAAACAUUUAGAUCUAGACAUCAGGACAGAUGUGUACGCACGUACAGAAUAUCACUCAUUCACUUCUCUAGAAGUAUAAAAGGCAUUUAAUUUAAAAAAAAUGGCAUUUUUAUUUAAAACACGGUUAGUAGUCCUUGCUUGGGGCAUUAGUUUAUAAUAAGAUGCAAUACUUGUAUUGGUCCUAACCAAAUGAAGCAGACAAGGGCGAAAACCGAAGAGAAAAUGUAAGUCAUAGGAUAAAAUACAAAAAAAAAAAAAAAUCCGUUUGAUUUUAUUUUAGCUAUAUAUGGGGCAACCUUUCGUAUAUGCAUUUUUGAAUUCUUUAAUGUCAAUGUGAAUAUACAAUAGCCACAUUUAAGAAUUUAGUAGGUUUUGCAUUCAUUCAAAAAAAAAAAAAAAAGAACUUCACAUUUUAAAGAAUUUAUGUGUGACAAUUAAUGAUAAUAUAGACAUUUUUCUUUGCAUAUAAUUUUUUUUUUAUAAAUAAUUGUUAUCGAAUUUAAUAUGUUAUCUAUUAAAUACAAUUUGUACACACUU